RNAcentral lists this ribosomal RNA (434 nucleotides) under uncultured Ruminococcus sp. Its description in RNAcentral is "partial 16S ribosomal RNA". It matches the Rfam family "Bacterial small subunit ribosomal RNA", at positions 341 to 792 of the family's 1533-position model. The record is from RNAcentral. Lineage: Bacteria; Bacillati; Bacillota; Clostridia; Eubacteriales; Oscillospiraceae.
ACGGAAGGCAGCAGUGGGGAAUAUUGCACAAUGGGCGCAAGCCUGAUGCGGCGAUGCCGCGUGAGGGAAGAAGGUUUUCGGAUUGUAAACCUCUGUCAACAGGGACGAAAAUGACGGUACCUGUGAAGGAAGCUCCGGCUAAAUACGUGCCAGCAGCCGCGGUAAUACGUAGGGAGCAAGCGUUAUCCGGAAUUACUGGGUGUAAAGGGAGUGUAGGCGGGACUGUAAGUCAGAUGUGAAAUAUGCCGGCUCAACUGGCAGACUGCAUUUGAAACUGCGGAUCUUGAGUGAAGUAGAGGUAAGCGGAAUUCCUAGUGUAGCGGUGAAAUGCGUAGAUAUUAGGAGGAACAUCAGUGGCGAAGGCGGCUUACUGGGCUUUAACUGACGCUGAGGCUCGAAAGCGUGGGGAGCAAACAGGAUUAGAUACCCUGGUA